Molecule: unclassified non-coding RNA, 312 nt
Filed under: plant metagenome
Description: partial contains internal transcribed spacer 2 and large subunit ribosomal RNA
Rfam family: 5.8S ribosomal RNA (bases 1-105)
Source: RNAcentral
GAAAUGCGAUAAGCAAUGCGAAUUGCAGAAUUCCGCGAGUCAUCAGAUCUUUGAACGCAGCCCGCGCCGGAGAGAUAUCUCUUCGGCAUGUUUGUUUCAGUGUGUUUGGUUGACUUCACACAGCUCAAUGCGAUUGAACCUUUACGGUUCUCUCGUGAAAAGCGAAGGCGUGGGACUCGCCCGCCAACGAUGUGGUCACUGUCUAACAGUGAAUUCGUUGGGUUCAUCGGUCAAGUCAUUUAAGUACGUCUUUUACUUAACAAUCUUCAAUCUGCACCUGAAAUCAAGCAAGAACACCCGCUGAACUUAAGC